UAGGGAAUCUUCGGCAAUGGGGGCAACCCUGACCGAGCAACGCCGCGUGAGUGAAGAAGGUUUUUCGGAUCGUAAAGCUCUGUUGUAAGUCAAGAACGGGUGUGAGAGUGGAAAGUUCACACUGUGACGGUAGCUUACCAGAAAGGGACGGCUAACUACGUGCCAGCAGCCGCGGUAAUACGUAGGUCCCCGAGCGUUGUCCGGAUUUAUUGGGCGUAAAGCGAGCGCAGGAGGUUUGAUAAGUCUGAAGUUAA
RNAcentral lists this ribosomal RNA (254 nucleotides) under uncultured bacterium. RNAcentral's name for it is "partial 16S ribosomal RNA". It matches the Rfam family "Bacterial small subunit ribosomal RNA", at positions 355 to 598 of the family's 1533-position model. The record is from RNAcentral.